Molecule: ribosomal RNA, 253 nt
Filed under: uncultured bacterium
Lineage: Bacteria
Description: partial 16S ribosomal RNA
Rfam family: Bacterial small subunit ribosomal RNA
Source: RNAcentral
UACGUAGGUGGCAAGCGUUGUCCGGAUUUACUGGGCGUAAAGAGCGCGCAGGCGGUCGUUCAAGUCGCGUGUGAAAGCCCCCGGCUCAACUGGGGAGGGUCACGCGAUACUGAUCGACUCGAAGGCAGGAGAGGGUAGUGGAAUUCCCGGUGUAGUGGUGAAAUACUUAGAUAUGAUGUAGAACACCGAUUGCGAAGGCAGCUCACUAAAUUGUAACUGACGCUGAGGCACGAAAGCGUGGGGAUCAAACAGG